AGCCCUGUCUCUGAGCCCUGAAAAAUCCCCACAAGAGGUGCUGGACAGACAGCAUCAGGGUAGGCCUCCCUGUCCCCUCACUGGGCCUCAACCCUUCCCUGAAGGGGUCACCCUUAGUGAUGAGAGAGGAAUUCAGUCUCCAUGGGUUUCCUUGGUCCCU
Molecule: unclassified non-coding RNA, 160 nt
Organism: Gopherus agassizii (Agassiz's desert tortoise)
Lineage: Eukaryota; Metazoa; Chordata; Testudines; Testudinidae
Source: Ensembl